AUGGCCCGUGCUGUUGUUCCGUUGAAUUUUAAUGCGUUCCUUGAGAAAGCAAAGUUGAAAGAUGAUGGUAGCAAUUACACGGACUGGGUCCGUAACUUGAGGAUUAUCCUCAUUGCUGCACAGAAGAAUUACGUCCUGGAAGCACCGCUAGGUGCCAGGCCUGCUGCUGGAGCAACACCAGAUGUUAUGAACGUCUGGCAGAGCAAAGCUGAUUACUACUUGAUAGUUCAGUGUGCCAUGCUUUACGGCUUAGAAUCGGGACUUCAACGAUGUUUUAAACGUCAUGGAGCAUAUGAGAUGUUCCAGGAGUUGAAGUUAAUAUUUCAAGCAAAUGCCCGGAUUGAGAGAUAUGAAGUCUCCAAUAAGUUCUAUAGCUUCAAGAUGGAGAAGAACAGUUAUGUCAGUGAGCAUAUACUCAAAAUGUCUGGGUAUAAUAAUCACUUGAUUCAAUUGGGAGUUAAUCUUCCAGAUGAUUGCGUCAUUGACAGAAUUCUCCAAUCACUCCCAUCUAGCUACAAGAGCUUCGUGAUGAACUAUAAUAUGCAAGGGAUGAAUAAGACUAUUCCCGAGCUCUUCGCAAUGCUGAAAGCUGCGGAGGUAGAAAUCAAGAAGGAGCAUCAAGUGUUGAUGGUCAACAAGACCACUAGUUUCAAGAAAAAGGGCAAAGGGAAGAGGAAGGGGAACUUCAAAAAGAACAACAAGCAAGUUGCUACUCAAGAGAAGAAACCCAAACCUGGACCUAAGCCUGAAACUGAGUGCUUCUACUGCAAGCAGACUGGUCACUGGAAGCGGAACUGCCCCAAGUAUUUGGCAGAUAAGAAGGAUGGCAAGGUGAACAAAGGUAUAUGUGAUAUACAUGUUAUUGAUGUGUACCUUACUAAUGCUCGCAGUAGCACCUGGGUAUUUGAUACUGGUUCUGUUGCUAACAUUUGCAACUCGAAACAGGGACUACGGAUUAAGCGAAGAUUGGCUAAGGACGAGGUGACGAUGCGCGUGGGAAAUGGUUCCAAAGUCGAUGUGAUCGCGGUCGGCACGCUACCUCUACAUCUACCUUCGAGAUUAAUAUUAGACCUAAAUAAUUGUUAUUUGGUGCCAGCGUUAAGCAUGAACAUUAUAUCUCGAUCUUGUUUGAUGUGA
RNAcentral lists this ribosomal RNA (1137 nucleotides) under Triticum aestivum (bread wheat). RNAcentral describes it as "partial small subunit ribosomal RNA". The record is from RNAcentral. Lineage: Eukaryota; Viridiplantae; Streptophyta; Magnoliopsida; Poales; Poaceae.